GACGAACGCUGGCGGCGUGCUUAACACAUGCAAGUCGAACGGUGAAGCGCUUGCCUUUUUGGUGGGUGUGGAUGAGUGGCGAACGGGUGAGUAACACGUGAGUAACCUGCCCUCUUCUUCUGGAUAACCUCAUGAAAGUGGGGCUAAUACGGGGUAUUCCGGGUCUGUCGCAUGGCGGGUUUGGGAAAGAUUGCGCCUUUGGUUGUUUUCGGUGGGGGAUGGGCUCGCGGCCUAUCAGCUUGUUGGGGGGGUGAUGGCCUACCAAGGCGGUGACGGGUAGCCGGCCUGAGAGGGUGGACGGCCACACUGGGACUGAGACACGGCCCAGACUCCUGCGGGAGGCAGCAGUGGGGAAUAUUGCACAAUGGGCGCAAGCCUGAUGCAGCGACGCCGCGUGAGGGAUGGAGGCCUUCGGGUUGUGAACCUCUUUCGCCAGUGAAGCAGGCCUGCUCCUGUGUGGGUGGGUUGACGGUAGCUGGAGAAGAAGCGCCGGCUAACUACGUG
RNAcentral lists this ribosomal RNA (504 nucleotides) under uncultured bacterium. Its description in RNAcentral is "partial 16S ribosomal RNA". It matches the Rfam family "Bacterial small subunit ribosomal RNA", at positions 28 to 507 of the family's 1533-position model. The record is from RNAcentral.